UACGUAGGGCGCAAGCGUUAUCCGGAAUUAUUGGGCGUAAAGAGCUCGUAGGCGGUUUGUCGCGUCUGCCGUGAAAGUCCGGGGCUCAACUCCGGAUCUGCGGUGGGUACGGGCAGACUAGAGUGCAGUAGGGGAGACUGGAAUUCCUGGUGUAGCGGUGAAAUGCGCAGAUAUCAGGAGGAACACCGAUGGCGAAGGCAGAUCUCUGGGCCGUAACUGACGCUGAGGAGCGAAAGCGUGGGGAGCGAACAGG
This 253-nucleotide ribosomal RNA is filed under the name uncultured bacterium. RNAcentral describes it as "partial 16S ribosomal RNA". It matches the Rfam family "Bacterial small subunit ribosomal RNA", at positions 524 to 776 of the family's 1533-position model. The record is from RNAcentral.